UAGUAGAUGUGCUGCCAAACACACAUCUGUACUUUGUCACAAAGAAGCUCACAAGGAAACGGGCUUCAGCUUUUAGGGCCGGAGUCAGCGUGCGAGAGCCUGUGGAGCUGGUCACAAGGCGUGAAAAGUAAACCAGGACCCCCAGACAGCGUGACUCGCAGAGCAAUAGCUGUUUUCCUGGCCCCCGCGCCCUGCGUUCACAGCUGCUUCAAGCAUUUGACUGCAGGGGGCAGAGCAGAGCGGUCCCUGCCCUGGGCGACCCGAAUCCAGGCACCAGCCUUUUCCUGUCUAGAAGCAAGACCAAAUGUAAAGUGCAGACUCUGAAGCCGGACUACCCAGGUGCCGUUUCAUCCCCUCGGCUUUGCUGCUUUUGUCCUCGGUCAAGUUGCUCAACU
Molecule: long non-coding RNA, 395 nt
Filed under: Dasypus novemcinctus (nine-banded armadillo)
Lineage: Eukaryota; Metazoa; Chordata; Mammalia; Cingulata; Dasypodidae
Description: lncRNA (ENSDNOG00000051265.1)
Source: RNAcentral